RNAcentral lists this ribosomal RNA (714 nucleotides) under Lichtheimia ramosa. Its description in RNAcentral is "eukaryotic LSU rRNA". The stretch from base 263 to 416 matches the Rfam family "5.8S ribosomal RNA". Lineage: Eukaryota; Fungi; Mucoromycota; Mucoromycetes; Mucorales; Lichtheimiaceae. The record is from RNAcentral.
CGAAGGAUCAUUACUGAGAGGUUACUAAGACUCUUGGGUUGAGUUUCUUUACUCUUCUCUUGAGUUUCCUCACGGUUUUGUGCAAUGUUGGGUCACCUUGGUUGACUCUGCCCUAAGUUAUUGGGCUGGCCUUUGGGGCCCCUAGUAUGAUUUAUCAUACUAACCCCAGAGGUUAAUUUCUACUAUGUCUAUGAAUUGAUGUAUGAAAAAAGUUAUUUGUUAACUUGAAGGCUUUUGCUGUAAAAAGUGAGUCUUUAAAAACAACUCUUGGCAAUGGAUCUCUUGGUUCUCGCAUCGAUGAAGAGCGUAGCAAAGUGCGAUAAUUAUUGCGACUUGCAUUCAUAGUGAAUCAUCGAGUUCUUGAACGCAUCUUGCGCCUAGUAGUCAAUCUACUAGGCACAGUUGUUUCAGUAUCUGCAUCCACCAAUCAACACGACUUGCUUGUGUUGGAACUGGGCUUACUUUUGAUGGCAUUUAGUUGCUGUCAUGGCCUUAAAUGUAUUUAGUCCUAGGUGUUAACUUGUUAAUGCCGGAUGGAGACUCUAGAGUGCCUUAGAAGCAGCUUGGUUAGUGAGUUCAUAAUUCCAAGUGUUAGUCUUUUAUUGAACUGGGUUUCUAGUCUAUGGGACAUGGAGUCGUAAGACUCUUAAACAACAAACUCACAUUUAGAUCUGAAAUCAACUGAGACCACCCGCUGAACUUAAGCAUAUAAUA